UACGUAGGGCGCAAGCGUUGUCCGGAAUUAUUGGGCGUAAAGAGCUCGUAGGCGGCUUGUUGCGUCCGCUGUGAAAUCCCGGGGCUUAACCCCGGGCGUGCAGUGGAUACGGGCAGGCUAGAGGCAGGCAGGGGAGAACGGAAUUCCUGGUGUAGCGGUGAAAUGCGCAGAUAUCAGGAAGAACACCCGUGGCGAAGGCGGCUCUCUGGGACGGUACUGACGCUGAGACGCGAAAGCGUGGGGAGCGAACAGG
RNAcentral lists this ribosomal RNA (253 nucleotides) under uncultured bacterium. RNAcentral's name for it is "partial 16S ribosomal RNA". It matches the Rfam family "Bacterial small subunit ribosomal RNA", at positions 524 to 776 of the family's 1533-position model. The record is from RNAcentral.